RNAcentral lists this transfer RNA (69 nucleotides) under Marmota marmota marmota (Alpine marmot). It matches the Rfam family "tRNA". From Rfam's summary of the family: Transfer RNA (tRNA) molecules are approximately 80 nucleotides in length. Their secondary structure includes four short double-helical elements and three loops (D, anti-codon, and T loops). Further hydrogen bonds mediate the characteristic L-shaped molecular structure. tRNAs have two regions of fundamental functional importance: the anti-codon, which is responsible for specific mRNA codon recognition, and the 3' end, to which the tRNAs corresponding amino acid is attached (by aminoacyl-tRNA synthetases). tRNAs cope with the degeneracy of the genetic code in two manners: having more than one tRNA (with a specific anti-codon) for a particular amino acid; and 'wobble' base-pairing, i.e. permitting non-standard base-pairing at the 3rd anti-codon position. RNAcentral also lists the same sequence under 1 other name. Lineage: Eukaryota; Metazoa; Chordata; Mammalia; Rodentia; Sciuridae. The record is from Rfam by way of RNAcentral.
GGGGUUGUGGCUCAGAGGUAGAGCACUUGCCUAGCAUGCAUGAGGCACUGAGUUUGAUCCUCAGCACCA